UACGAAGGGGGCUAGCGUUGUUCGGAAUUACUGGGCGUAAAGCGCACGUAGGCGGACAUUUAAGUCCGGCGUGAAAUCCCAGAGCUCAACUCUGGAACUGCGUUGGAAACUACAUGACUUGAGUAUCGGAGAGGUUAGGGGAAUUCUCGGUGUAAGGGUGAAAUCUGUAGAUAUCGAGAGGAACACCAGUGGCGAAGGCGCCUAACUGGCCGAUUACUGACGCUGAGCUGCGAAAGUAAGGGGAGCAAACAGG
This 253-nucleotide ribosomal RNA is filed under the name uncultured prokaryote. Its description in RNAcentral is "partial 16S ribosomal RNA". It matches the Rfam family "Bacterial small subunit ribosomal RNA", at positions 524 to 776 of the family's 1533-position model. The record is from RNAcentral.